UGCCAGCAGCCGCGGUAAUACGAGGGUGGCAAGCGUUACUCGGAAUUAUUGGGUGUAAAGGGCAAGUAGGCGGCUUGUUAAGUGAGGGGUGAAAUCUACCGGCUCAAUCGGUAAACGGCCUUUCAAACUAACAAGCUUGAGUAUGACAGGGGGAAACGGAAUUAGCAGUGUAAGGGUGAAAUCUGUAGAUAUUGCUAAGAACACCGGCGGCGAAGGCGGUUUCCUGGGUCAUUACUGACGCUGAUUUGCGAAAGCUAGGGUAGCAAACGGAAUUAGAUA
RNAcentral lists this ribosomal RNA (279 nucleotides) under uncultured bacterium. RNAcentral's name for it is "partial 16S ribosomal RNA". It matches the Rfam family "Bacterial small subunit ribosomal RNA", at positions 506 to 784 of the family's 1533-position model. The record is from RNAcentral.